CAAAAAAUGACUCUCGGCAACGGAUAUGUCGGCUCUCGUAUCGAUGAAGUAAGUAACGAAAUGCGAUACUUGGUGUGAAUUGCAGAAUCCCGUGAACCAUCGAGUCUUUGAACGCAAGUUGCGCCCAAAGCCUGUUAGGCCGAGGGCACGUCUGCCUGGGCGUCACGCAU
This 170-nucleotide ribosomal RNA is filed under the name Amasonia sp. PCD 6176. RNAcentral's name for it is "5.8S ribosomal RNA". It matches the Rfam family "5.8S ribosomal RNA". Rfam says of the family: 5.8S ribosomal RNA (5.8S rRNA) is a component of the large subunit of the eukaryotic ribosome. It is transcribed by RNA polymerase I as part of the 45S precursor that also contains 18S and 28S rRNA. Functionally, it is thought that 5.8S rRNA may be involved in ribosome translocation. The record is from RNAcentral. Lineage: Eukaryota; Viridiplantae; Streptophyta; Magnoliopsida; Lamiales; Lamiaceae.